Non-coding RNA from Heterocephalus glaber (naked mole-rat), 165 nucleotides. Lineage: Eukaryota; Metazoa; Chordata; Mammalia; Rodentia; Bathyergidae. The record is from Rfam.
CUUUUAAAAUAUCUGAGACAAACAAGGAAGGAAAAUAAUAUUCUACCUCACCCUGUUACCACCCUAGAAGACAGAAAAUCUUCCCUGAAGCAGAACAGAGCAGAGAUGGCAGGAGGGGGAGAGAGUGGCUGCCUCUAGCAUUCAGGCAGGAGAGUCCAUGCAGGA